RNAcentral lists this non-coding RNA (374 nucleotides) under Cavia porcellus (domestic guinea pig). RNAcentral describes it as "Bacterial large subunit ribosomal RNA". It matches the Rfam family "Bacterial large subunit ribosomal RNA", at positions 2076 to 2644 of the family's 2925-position model. The record is from Rfam by way of RNAcentral. Lineage: Eukaryota; Metazoa; Chordata; Mammalia; Rodentia; Caviidae.
UAAGAAGAGAAGAUCCUAUGGAGCUUUAAUUUAUUAAUUCAUUCUUUACUACCUUAAAUUCAAAAGCAAAUGAAACAUUAGACUUGAAUUAAUAAUUUGGGUUGGGGUGACCUUGGAUAAUAACAAAACUCUGAAUGAUAUUAACCUAGACACAACAAAUCAAAGUUUCCUAUCAUUAAUCAAUGAACCAAGUUACCAUAGGGAUAACAGUGCAAUUCUAUUUUAGGGUCCAUAUCAACAAUAGGGUUUAUGACCUCGAAGUUGGAUCAGGACAUCCUAACAGGACAGCCACUACUAAGGGUUUGUUUGUUCAAUGAUUAAAGUCCUAUACGAUCUGAGUUCAGACCAGAGUAAUCCAGGUAAGUUACUAUCUA